This is a long non-coding RNA of Dermochelys coriacea (leatherback sea turtle), 156 nucleotides long. RefSeq lists it as uncharacterized. The record is from RefSeq and is a predicted model, not a curated record. Lineage: Eukaryota; Metazoa; Chordata; Testudines; Dermochelyidae. The transcript is spliced from 3 exons.
GAGGAGCUAGCGAACAGGAGCUAUAACCUGAGUUCUGUGAGGGGGUUCUCCAGGUGAAGGAGGAGCGACUAGGUGACCCUUGGAGGACAGUCCGGUUUGGCCAAUGCACGGGGGAGAGGGGCACUGAAAUCGAGUUUACACAAGUUAAGAAGGAAG